Molecule: long non-coding RNA, 544 nt
Filed under: Homo sapiens (human)
Lineage: Eukaryota; Metazoa; Chordata; Mammalia; Primates; Hominidae
Description: long intergenic non-protein coding RNA 2468
Source: RNAcentral
AUUCAUUUAUUAAUUUAUUCACUCAAUCACCUGUAUACCAAAUAUGUAUUAAGUAUCUGUUAUGUGCCAGGAACCUGUUCCAGGUUCAGAGAAUACAGUGAAUAAACAGACUGAACCCUGCUCUCAAUGAACAUCUUCAUGUUACUUGAUAUGAGUUCAUUCCUUGAACUAGAACAUCAAUAAGAUGCUGGAGUUUAAUCAACCACAGCAGACUGUGAGGUGGAAGCCACUUGGUGAUUGUGAGCCAGCACCAAGAUCGAAGGCAUUUGGAUCCCUGGUGAUCACAGACCCAGCAUGUCAUCUCUGCAAAGCUUCCCAGAAAGUGUGGAAUAUUGGCCUUCCUUUUCAGAUUCAUGUGAAAGCUUGGAGAAAAGAACACAGACUAAAAGGAAUAUAAAUCCAAAAGAAUGAGUGAAAUGGGAAUACACAAGGCAUGAGCAAUAAGACUGUUCUCUCAGAAACAAUGAGAAUAACUGCUCUACAUCUUACAAACCAGAAACUUACACGUUGUAUCUCAUUAAAUUUUAUUUUGAAUAUUGAGAAC